Molecule: ribosomal RNA, 376 nt
Filed under: uncultured bacterium
Lineage: Bacteria
Description: bacterial SSU rRNA
Rfam family: Bacterial small subunit ribosomal RNA
Source: RNAcentral
UACGGAGGUCCCGAGCGUUGUUCGGAAUUACUGGGCGUAAAGGGAGCGCAGGCGGACGGGUCAGUCUGAAGUGGAAAUCCGGGGCUCAACCUCGGACUUGCUUCGGAUACUGCCCGUCUUGAGUUCGUGAGAGGAAGAUGGAAUUCAGGGUGUAGCGGUGAAAUGCUCAGAUAUCCUGAGGAACACCAGUGGCGAAAGCGGUCUUCUGGCACGAAACUGACGCUGAGGCUCGAAAGCGUGGGUAGCAAACAGGAUUAGAUACCCUGGUAGUCCACGCCGUAAACGUUGUGUGCUAGGUGCGGGAGGUAUCGACCCCUUCCGUGCCGCAGUUAACGCAUUAAGCACACCGCCUGGGGAGUACGCCCGCAAGGGUGAA